RNAcentral lists this long non-coding RNA (207 nucleotides) under Elaeis guineensis (African oil palm). RNAcentral's name for it is "long non-coding RNA (EGUI_LNC040220)". Lineage: Eukaryota; Viridiplantae; Streptophyta; Magnoliopsida; Arecales; Arecaceae. The record is from RNAcentral.
ACCAUGUAUGAAGAGUCACUCCGAAUGGGCUUAAGAUUUUCCAUUUAUCCCUUCAUCCUUGACAUCUUCUAUUUUUAUGGUUUGUCCUUUUGUGCCAUUGCUCCGAACUCCUUUAGGUUCGUGGUAGGUUUUUUGGUCCUUUGUGACAUGGCUAGUGUCCAACAUCUAUUGAUCUCUUUUGCUCUUUUUUCACUAUCAAGAGGCAUC